Molecule: non-coding RNA, 115 nt
Organism: Triticum aestivum (bread wheat)
Lineage: Eukaryota; Viridiplantae; Streptophyta; Magnoliopsida; Poales; Poaceae
Source: Rfam
AUGAUACUCCCUCCGUUUCAAAUUACUCGUCGCAGAAAUGGAUGUAUCUAGAACUAAAAUACAUCAAGAUACAUCCAUUUCUGCGACGAGUAAUUCGGAACGGAGGAAAUAUGUG